CGGUCUGGACAACAGUGUAGCCUCACCAAGCACGGGGGACGACGAUGACCCGGAUAAGGAAAAGAAGCGCAACAAGAAGAGAGGAAUCUUCCCCAAAGUGGCCACCAACAUCAUGAGAGCAUGGCUUUUCCAGCAUCUAACACAUCCAUACCCAUCGGAAGAACAGAAGAAGCAAUUGGCACAAGACACAGGCCUUACCAUUCUACAAGUGAACAACUGGUUCAUCAAUGCCCGGAGGAGAAUAGUCCAGCCUAUGAUUGACCAGUCAAACCGUGCAGGCAAGUCUCUUAUAAUUUCUAAUGCUGGCUUUUCUAGUCUCUCUGGUCAAA
Boleophthalmus pectinirostris (great blue-spotted mudskipper) is the source of this 329-nucleotide RNA transcript. RefSeq lists it as uncharacterized. The record is from RefSeq and is a predicted model, not a curated record. Lineage: Eukaryota; Metazoa; Chordata; Actinopteri; Gobiiformes; Gobiidae. The transcript is spliced from 3 exons.